This 894-nucleotide long non-coding RNA is filed under the name Monodelphis domestica (gray short-tailed opossum). RNAcentral describes it as "lncRNA (ENSMODG00000038501.1)". The record is from RNAcentral. Lineage: Eukaryota; Metazoa; Chordata; Mammalia; Didelphimorphia; Didelphidae.
CUCCGGCCUAUAUAAUGAUGUGGUUAUUUUUAGAUCUCCAUUAUCCCUAGAGAGCCCUGCACUGCCAUCUGAUUUGUUAACAACAGACUGACAGAAAUGUGAUUAUUGAUUCUCUCCAUGUGCUUUUUUGGGGCACUGAAUCCCUUGGGACUGAAUGACAUUUGCAAUUUUGUUUACCAGCAGUUCUGUGCGUUCCUUUCAUCUGUGCUAUAAACACAUUGGAAAUCAAUUGUGUUCAAACACAAUUGCCAAGGUUAAGAAAAGGCUUCUUUUUUAUUUUUUUGUAAGGGAGGGGAAAUUUAUUUAGAGAAUCUUCUAAGCAUAUUUUUUUCUUUGAGGAAAGGAUGCAAAGAAGGAAAAGUGAAAGAGAAAAAGAGAAAGAAGAGAAGAAAGGAAAAAACCCUCAGAUUUGGACUAUUUAGUCCUCUAAUCAGGAUACCUCUAAAGCUGGUGGCAAGCUGACACACCGAUUUGAGGAAUUUCCACAAGCCAAAGUCUUUCCCCACUUUGUGAAUACGGGACAUCAGAGAAAGAGAGAGAGAGAGAGCAAAAGCCAGCCUCCUGAGCUUACUCUACUCAGAGACCAACUAUCAGAAUGAAAAUUCCAACUCAUCAAACCUCCACAGAAUUCCAUCAGUCACUGAACUGCAAAAUUCCAACCAAGAUCCAAACUGCUGCCCAAGAGGUGAAUCCAUUGGAUCAAAGAAUAGUAUCGUUCAUCAGUGCACCCUUCUCUCCUAAAAUGGAUGGCUGUGUGGGUUGAGAGGAUCAAGGAUCAAGAUUUCUUGUAGAGAAAUCAUAGAAAGGACUACAUAAGUAUAACACCUGGGGGUAAGUUCUCACCACAACAUUCAUAUUUUUACUUAUAAUUACAAAAAUUUAAUACAACUUGAA